RNAcentral lists this long non-coding RNA (325 nucleotides) under Calidris pygmaea (Spoon-billed sandpiper). RNAcentral's name for it is "lncRNA (ENSCPGG00000002466.1)". Lineage: Eukaryota; Metazoa; Chordata; Aves; Charadriiformes; Scolopacidae. The record is from RNAcentral.
UAGUCUGUAAUAGUAGCUAUUUUUAUUAAUUAAAUAUCAUUAGUGUGCCUGUCUUCAUUUAAAAAUAUGAAAACAUCCAGCUAAAGAAAAACAUUAUAGAUAAGUGUUCUAAACUACUUUGGUUAUUUACUUACUUUUGUGAAACUUUCUGUGUAGUUUCUUUACCCAGUUGAAGACAGAAAGACUUUUACAGGAAGUCGCCUCUUGCUAGUUUCAGAAGAUAAAUAUGUUGAACAAUUUGACAUUCAUGUUGUUGCAGAAGAAGAACACAAAGUGGUGAUACAAAACUCGGGUCAGCUUCCAAGAGCCAGAGUUGCAGAUGAUC